GAGAGCAAGCGGACCUCAUAAAGUGCGUCGUAGUCCGGAUUGGAGUCUGCAACUCGACUCCAUGAAGUCGGAAUCGCUAGUAAUCGUAGAUCAGAAUGCUACGGUGAAUACGUUCCCGGGCCUUGUACACACCGCCCGUCACACCAUGGGAGUGGGUUGCAAAAGAAGUAGGUAGCUUAACCUUCGGGAGGGCGCUUACCACUUUGUGAUUCAUGACUGGGGUGAAGUCGUAACAAGGUAACCGUAGGGGAACCUGCGGUUGGAUCACCUCCUUACCUGAA
RNAcentral lists this ribosomal RNA (281 nucleotides) under Pantoea sp. VS1. Its description in RNAcentral is "partial 16S ribosomal RNA". It matches the Rfam family "Bacterial small subunit ribosomal RNA", at positions 1259 to 1533 of the family's 1533-position model. The record is from RNAcentral. Lineage: Bacteria; Pseudomonadati; Pseudomonadota; Gammaproteobacteria; Enterobacterales; Erwiniaceae.